AUGUGCUUUGUUAAACAGAUGCUUGAAGGCAGCAUGCUCGUUAAGAGUCAUCACCACUCCCUAAUCUUAAGUACCCAGGGACACAAACACUGCGGAAGGCCGCAGGGUCCUCUGCCUAGGAAAACCAGAGACCUUUGUUCACUUGUUUAUCUGCUGACCUUCCCUCCACUAUUGUCCUAUGACCCUGCCAAAUCCCCCUCUGCGAGAAACACCCAAGAAUGAUCAAUAAAAAUAAAAAAUAAAAAAUAAAAAAUAAAAAUAAAAAAAAAAAAAAAACAAACAAACAAACAAAAAAAACGGGGCUGGGUGCAGUGGCUCAGGCCUAUAAUCCUAGCACUUUGGGAGGCCGAGGUGGGUGGAUCGCCUGAGGUCAGGAGUUCGAGACCAGCCUGUCCAACAUAGCCAAACCCUGUCUCUACUAAAACUACAACAUUAGCUGGGCGUGGUGGUGGUGGGUGCCUGUAAUCUCCAGCUCAGGCAGGAGAAUCGCUUGAACCCUGGGGGCGGAGGUUGUGGUGAGCGGAGAUCAUGGCCAUUGCACUUCAGCCUGGGCGUAAGAGCAAAACUCUGUCUCAGGAAGAAAACAACAACCACAACAAAAAAUGCUACUUAUAUUAAUUUUGCCUCUGUUUGUUUGUUUGUUUCUCUCUCUCUCUCUUUCUUCUUAUUAUUUUUGGAGACAGAGCCUCACUCUGUCGCCCAGGCUGGAGUGCAGUGGUGCAAUCUUGGCUCACUGCAACCUCUGUCUCCCAUGUUCAAGCAAUUUUCAUGCCUCAGCCUCCCCAGUAUCUGGGAUUACAGGGUCACACCACUGUGCCCGGCUAAUUUUUGUAUUUUUUGUAGAGACAGGGUUUUCACCAUCAGGCCGGUCUUGAACUCCUGACCUCAACUGAUCACCCGCCUCAGCCUCCUAAAGUGCUAAGAUAGCCACGGUGCCUGGUUAGAAUAUAUUUUUUAAAUGUGCCUUAAAAUUUCUCAAUACAAAAAGGUUCAAUGAACAUUAUCUAGGAAAUAAAGAAUUAAAAAAAAUAAGAUUACUAGGUAGAAAAUAAACAUUUAAAUUCAUAGAAAGGGAUUGGAAGAUUAUAUACCAAACUUUUUUUUUCUUUUGAGACAAGGGCUCACUCUGUCGCCCAGGCUGGAUUGCAGUGGCACAAUCACAGCUAUAUAUGUGUAUAUAAUUUUCUAAGUAAAGAAAGUCCUGAAAUUUUAGGUUAAAAGGUGUAUUAGGGCCGGGCGCGGUGGCUCAUGCCUGUAAUUGCAGCAUUUUGGGAGGCUGAGGCGGGCAGGUCACUUGAGGUCAGGGGUUCGAGAUCAGCCUGGCCAACAUGAUGAAACC
This 1339-nucleotide long non-coding RNA is filed under the name Homo sapiens (human). RNAcentral describes it as "HSALNT0406141". Lineage: Eukaryota; Metazoa; Chordata; Mammalia; Primates; Hominidae. The record is from RNAcentral.